AAGGCUGUUUUGGUCUUUUCACCUCCUGUACUUAUCCCUAUCCUUCCAGCUCGACCCCUGGACCUCUUCAGAUGGUGCUGGUGAUCAGAGGGAGCUUCUCCCACCUCUUCCGCACUCUCUCUCUAGGGUUUUUCUCUCUCUACGAGAAAACCGUCGAUUCGAGCCGAUUUCGCGCCGGGUUCGUCGCUUGCUGUUUAAGUAGACUUGGGGCCAGCUUCUAAAAGGGAUUCCAGCAGCUAGAGGAGAGAUUUUUAGCUGUGAAUUGACCCCCUUAGACCAGGGAUGAUCUAAUUUGAAGCUUGCUUGAGCAGGUCUUUGAGUCUUGUUGAGCUGAAUUUGUACUCUUAGAAACUGGUUUAGAAGCUAUUCUAACCUGAGCGCGAGUGCAAUCGACCCUUGGAUCAAUUUCAGCUGAUUAGUGAAAGCUUCUGAAGGCUUAAUUUGAGCAGAAUUGAGACCUUGGGAAGCUGAUUUUGGGACUUCCUUUGAACUGAUUAGAGCAUUAGUUCGAGAGCCUGUUACAGGAGAGGCUAGGGAUCG
Molecule: long non-coding RNA, 540 nt
Organism: Ananas comosus (pineapple)
Lineage: Eukaryota; Viridiplantae; Streptophyta; Magnoliopsida; Poales; Bromeliaceae
Exons: 6
Source: RefSeq, a predicted model, not a curated record